GACGAACGCUGGCGGCGUGCCUAACACAUGCAAGUUGAGCGACGAACCAGGGCUUGCCCUGGGGCAAAGCAGCGAACGGGUGAGUAACACGUGGGUAACCUACCCCGAUAACCGGGACAACCCGAGGAAACUCGGGCUAAUACCGGAUGUGCUCACUGGACUUCGGUUCAGUGCGUAAAGGAAGCUUCGGCCUCCGUAUCGGGAGGGGCCCGCGGCCCAUUAGUUUGUUGGUGAGGUAACGGCUCACCAAGACCGCGAUGGGUAGCUGGUCUGAGAGGACGAUCAGCCACACUGGGACUGAGACACGGCCCAGACUCCUACGGGAGGCAGCAGUGGGGAAUCUUGCGCAAUGCGCGAAAGUGUGACGCAGCAACGCCGCGUGGGGGAAGAAGGCCUUCGGGUUGUAAACCCCUUUCAGGAGGGACGAAGGUUCGGCGGUGAAUAGCCGUCCGGACUGACGGUACCUCCACAAGAAGCCCCGGCUAACUACGUG
This 493-nucleotide ribosomal RNA is filed under the name uncultured bacterium. RNAcentral describes it as "partial 16S ribosomal RNA". It matches the Rfam family "Bacterial small subunit ribosomal RNA", at positions 28 to 507 of the family's 1533-position model. The record is from RNAcentral.